RNAcentral lists this ribosomal RNA (468 nucleotides) under uncultured bacterium. RNAcentral's name for it is "partial 16S ribosomal RNA". It matches the Rfam family "Bacterial small subunit ribosomal RNA", at positions 28 to 507 of the family's 1533-position model. The record is from RNAcentral.
GACGAACGCUGGCGGCGUGCUUAACACAUGCAAGUCGAACGGAAAGGCCCUGCUUUUGUGGGGUGCUCGAGUGGCGAACGGGUGAGGAACACGAGAGUAACCUGCCCUUGACUUUGGGAUAACUUCAGGAAACUAGGGCUAAUAUCGGAUAGGAUCUCCUGCUGCAUGGUGGGGGUUGGAAAUUUUCGGCGGGUGGGGAUGGACUAGCGGGUGAUCAGCUUGUUGGUGGGGUAGUGGCUUACCAAGGCUUUGACGGGUAGCCGGCCUGAGAGGGUGACCGGCCACAUUGGGACUGAGGUACGGCCCAGCGUCCUACGGGAGGCAGCAGUGGGGAAUAUUGCACAAUGGGCGGAAGCCUGAUGCAGCAACGCCGCGUGCGGGAUGACGGCCUGCGGGUUGUAAACCGCUUUCGCCUGUGACGAAGCGUGAGUGACGGUAAUGGGUAAAGAAGCACCGGCUAACUACGUG